RNAcentral lists this ribosomal RNA (253 nucleotides) under uncultured bacterium. Its description in RNAcentral is "partial 16S ribosomal RNA". It matches the Rfam family "Bacterial small subunit ribosomal RNA", at positions 524 to 776 of the family's 1533-position model. The record is from RNAcentral.
UACGUAGGGCGCAAGCGUUGUCCGGAAUUAUUGGGCGUAAAGAGCUCGUAGGCGGCCAGUUGCGUCUGCUGUGAAAUCCCGGGGCUCAACCCCGGGCUUGCAGUGGAUACGGGCUGGCUGGAGGCAGGCAGGGGAGAACGGAAUUCCCGGUGUAGCGGUGAAAUGCGCAGAUAUCGGGAGGAACACCGGUGGCGAAGGCGGUUCUCUGGGCCUUGCCUGACGCUGAGGCGCGAAAGCUAGGGGAGCGAACAGG